This 460-nucleotide ribosomal RNA is filed under the name uncultured bacterium. RNAcentral describes it as "partial 16S ribosomal RNA". It matches the Rfam family "Bacterial small subunit ribosomal RNA", at positions 338 to 795 of the family's 1533-position model. The record is from RNAcentral.
CCUACGGGAGGCAGCAGUGAGGAAUAUUGGUCAAUGGGCGCGAGCCUGAACCAGCCAUGUAGCGUGAAGGAUGACUGCCCUACGGGUUGUAAACUUCUUUUAUAAAGGAAUAAACUCAGGUACGUGUGUCUUUCUGUAUGUAUCUUAUGAAUAAGGAUCGGCUAACUCCGUGCCAGCAGCCGCGGUAAUACGGAGGAUCCGAGCGUUAUCCGGAUUUAUUGGGUUUAAAGGGUGCGUAGAUGGGUUGAUAAGUUAGAGGUGAAAUGUCCGAGCUUAACUCGGGAACUGCCUCUGAUACUGUUGGGCUAGAGAGUAGAUGCGGUAGGCGGAAUGUAUGGUGUAGCGGUGAAAUGCUUAGAGAUCAUACAGAACACCGAUUGCGAAGGCAGCUUACCAAUCUAUAUCUGACGUUGAGGCACGAAAGCGUGGGGAGCAAACAGGAUUAGAUACCCUAGUAGUC